This 500-nucleotide ribosomal RNA is filed under the name uncultured bacterium. Its description in RNAcentral is "bacterial SSU rRNA". It matches the Rfam family "Bacterial small subunit ribosomal RNA", at positions 28 to 517 of the family's 1533-position model. The record is from RNAcentral.
GAUGAACGCUAGCUACAGGCUUAACACAUGCAAGUCGAGGGGCAGCAUGAACUUAGCUUGCUAAGUUUGAUGGCGACCGGCGCACGGGUGAGUAACACGUAUCCAACCUUCCGUUUACUCAGGGAUAGCCUUUCGAAAGAAAGAUUAAUACCUGAUAGUAUGGUGAGAUUGCAUGAUAGCACCAUUAAAGAUUUAUUGGUAAACGAUGGGGAUGCGUUCCAUUAGGUAGUAGGCGGGGUAACGGCCCACCUAGCCGACGAUGGAUAGGGGUUCUGAGAGGAAGGUCCCCCACAUUGGAACUGAGACACGGUCCAAGCUCCUACGGGAGGCAGCAGUGAGGAAUAUUGGUCAAUGGGCGAGAGCCUGAACCAGCCAAGUAGCGUGAAGGAUGAAGGUCCUACGGAUUGUAAACUUCUUUUAUACGGGAAUAAAGUAUCCUACGUGUAGGAUUUUGUAUGUACCGUAUGAAUAAGCAUCGGCUAACUCCGUGCCAGCAGCCG